GCUGGUAUAGCUCAGUUGGUAAAGUGCUUGCCUUACAUGCAUAAGGUCCUGGGUUCUACCCCCAGUGCCACA
Non-coding RNA from Ictidomys tridecemlineatus (thirteen-lined ground squirrel), 72 nucleotides. NCBI's taxonomy places the organism in Eukaryota, Metazoa, Chordata, Mammalia, Rodentia, Sciuridae. The record is from Rfam.